Long non-coding RNA from Lolium rigidum, 871 nucleotides. RefSeq lists it as uncharacterized. NCBI's taxonomy places the organism in Eukaryota, Viridiplantae, Streptophyta, Magnoliopsida, Poales, Poaceae. The record is from RefSeq and is a predicted model, not a curated record. The transcript is spliced from 4 exons.
AGAUGUUGGAUCUCUAUUCUCCAACAUCUUAUUUUUGCUUCUAUUUUUUCAAGCCCAACACUGCAACAUUUUAUUUCUAUCUCCCGUGCUUCAUGUGCAGCACUGCAAUAAGAUAUCCAUGGAUUCCUGGACGAGCUUUGUCCAAUACUCCAAGUACUACUGACAAGAGUAUGUGCUAUGGAAGAUGUGCAUACUACGUACAGAAUGAGCUGAUGCAUGUGAGCCUGAUGUUGGAGUGAGAUUUCUCGUUGCUUGCACUGUCACGAUAAAGCAUAGAUCGAAGAUCCUUUGACCUUUCUAGGCUGUUGGUCUGAUGGAAAGAUUUUCCACUGUGUUAAGGAACAUCAUCCGGCAGAAACUAACAAAUUCGCAGAGACACACACUUAAUGGGAUUUAUCCAUGGAAGACAUGCCGUGCAUAAGAAUCAUGUUCCUCUCUGUAUAUACAACUGGUAUAUGCCACCCAAAAGGAUUGUGUAGAAAAUUAAUUUCUGGAACUUCAAUUACCUUGGAGAUGAGGUGAAGUCUACCCAGCUCUUCCAACCGCCCUCAAUACACUAUUAGGUGGGAUAAAGUAGCUCCAGUUUGGCACCGAAUAAUGGCUUCUUCUUAUUGAAAUUGGGCACUAACACUUUGAGAACCACAUUUUCCUUAUGUUAUUGUUAUUGAUCUUUAUUUCUGACCCUACAAGAAAUUUCCAUGCUCAGCUACUUGAAGAUCGAAUCACUUGCACAUGGGCCAUCUCUUAUGUACUUCACCAUGUCUAAUUUAAUUUGUCUCUAAGAGAGUGUAUUUUAUCUCAUGAGGGUGGUGUUCAUUCAGCAGUAUGCCCCCUAAUACAACUUCUAUGAUAAAUAUUUUGCCUUAAAAUA